UUGAAAUACUGGAUCUCGUACGAUCACGAAAGUUAAGCAACGUCGAGCCUGGUCAGAACCCAGAUGGGUGAGCACUUGGGAAUACCAGGUACUGUAA
Non-coding RNA from Acanthosepion pharaonis, 97 nucleotides. The record is from the annotation of a GenBank genome assembly. Lineage: Eukaryota; Metazoa; Mollusca; Cephalopoda; Sepiida; Sepiidae.